This 566-nucleotide ribosomal RNA is filed under the name uncultured organism. RNAcentral describes it as "bacterial SSU rRNA". It matches the Rfam family "Bacterial small subunit ribosomal RNA", at positions 1 to 554 of the family's 1533-position model. The record is from RNAcentral.
UGGAUCCAGACUUUGAUUAUGGCUCAGGAUGAACGCUAGCUACAGGCUUAACACAUGCAAGUCGAGGGGAAACGACAUCGAAAGCUUGCUUUUGAUGGGCGUCGACCGGCGCACGGGUGAGUAACGCGUAUCCAACCUGCCCACCACUUGGGGAUAACCUUGCGAAAGUAAGACUAAUACCCAAUGACGUCUCUAGAAGACAUCUGAAAGAGAUUAAAGAUUUAUCGGUGAUGGAUGGGGAUGCGUCUGAUUAGCUUGUUGGCGGGGUAACGGCCCACCAAGGCUACGAUCAGUAGGGGUUCUGAGAGGAAGAUCCCCCACAUUGGAACUGAGACACGGUCCAAGCUCCUACGGGAGGCAGCAGUGAGGAAUAUUGGUCAAUGGGCGAGAGCCUGAACCAGCCAAGUAGCGUGCAGGAUGACGGCCCUAUGGGUUGUAAACUGCUUUUAUAAGGGAAUAAAGUGAGCCUCGUGAGGCUUUUUGCAUGUACCUUAUGAAUAAGGACCGGCUAAUUCCGUGCCAGCAGCCGCGGUAAUACGGAAGGUCCGGGCGUUAUCCGGAUUUAU